This is a long non-coding RNA of Branchiostoma floridae (Florida lancelet), 771 nucleotides long. RefSeq lists it as uncharacterized. Lineage: Eukaryota; Metazoa; Chordata; Leptocardii; Amphioxiformes; Branchiostomatidae. The transcript is spliced from 5 exons. The record is from RefSeq and is a predicted model, not a curated record.
GGCACGCGUUUCUGAGCUUGUCUAGACCACGGCAUUGUCAUUCGAUUCUUGAGUCAUGCGAGACCGUAACCGCUUCGUCUCGCACCGCCGUACGCAGAACUAUCUACAAACGGCAUGGGACACAAGGGUUGCCGACGAGAGACGCCAACCUUUACUGCAGGUGUUUCAAGAUAACGUCCGGGGAUAUAUCGUUUUAUACGUCGAGACAGACGACAAGCUCUGCUAUUCUAUCGGUGGCGAGACAGCUGACGCGAACCCGUCUCUUAUCUCGGAAUCGCACCGUAUGGAAAAAAAUAUCUACCGGGUUGGGUACUUCACGACACGUUCCGGGAGACGUCGGGAGAAUCUUAGGGUUCAUCUUUGAGGAGAUCUGCGGUGUUCAAAACAGCAGGCUGACGACUAGGUAUUCCCCAGGCAUUUGAUAAGGAACUCUGACAGCAGAAGUCGUGACUGUAGAAUCAGUGAACAGUUCUGAAGCACGGUUGGACCUGUGCUGGGGGAAGAAGGAGUGCUGUGUGUGACAGGAGGGUGACACGACAGGCAGCAAAGCCUAAUUCACCUAGGAAUCCUGCAAGGUAUCCCCACAAGCAAAAUUCAUGUCUGGACGCACUAAGAGAGGAGCCGGAUAAGGGAGGUGCCAGGUACCAGCGUCACUGAAGGUGUUUCUCGACAUCAGUGCGUCACGCAAGCCAAGAAGGCACCAAGCCCAACACGAACUCUGACAGCAGAAGUCGUGAAUGCAGAAUCAGUAAACAGUUUUGAAGCACGGUU